AAAAACUGAGCAGUCAUUUCAGCAGUUUCUUUUGCAGUGGAGAUGAGCAAGCAGUUAGAGUUCUACCUACUUGGAGGAAACUGAUAAGGAUCCCUGGCUUUUUAUUGAACCUGAUUAACAUCACUGUUUUUUUUUUUUUUUUUUUUUUUUUACCAGAAAAGCAACCUUGUAACUGCAAACACCAUGUUGAUAGAAUUGAGUUUUGCCUUAGCACUAAGGGUAAAAGUUAAAUAAGAAUAUGAAUAAGUAAAAUAAACUGCAGGGCAUUUUCUUAAGUGAAGCAACUCAGAAACAGAAAAUGACAUACCACAUGUCCUCACUUAUUAGUAGAAGCUAAGUAAUGUGUACACAUGGACAUAGAGUAUGGAAUAAGAAUUCAUGGAUUAUUUUGUGUUUAUUCUCUUAGAAAGUCUCUCAAAGACUUUUUAAAAUUAAAAAUUGCUCCUUAGUGUUGACAUAUAUGUGAGCCUGGUAAAGGUCAGAUCAUUUAUCACAGUUUCCAGUUCACAGCAGAGAAGGAGGAUUGCCUAAAAGAGACAAUUCCCUUUACAGAUGAAAAUUGAAACUCAGAAAGCCUGAUUUGUCCACUUACAACUAAUAAAGAGGAAGAUUUAAAUAUCUAAACACAGUCUCAUCAGUGAAAUCUACAGUUCUUCCUAACUCAUUUAGCUUGGAGCUAUCCAUCCUUGACUUCAUUAUUCCUACUGCCUCGUGGUGGCUAGAACUUUAGUAACAGGAUAGUCUCAGAUUUAGGCAACAACCUCCUGGCUUCAUCAGAACUACCUAUGAGCCAACACAAAUGGGAGCCAAAGAUCAAGAAAGCAAAAAGUGCUCACUAGAAUCCAGUUCUAUACAGGAAAUACGUACCAGCAUAAGAAAUGUAUAGCUUAUUUUUGUUGGGUUUUUCUAUCAGAGUACUUUUCUGAAGAAAAAUAAUACAAACCUUCCACAAAUCCAGAGUUGACAGCUUCACCUUGAAAAUGAACCACAAAAGGCAUUUCAAGUGUAACUAAUAACUAGAGACUGUUCAAUGAAAACUGUUUAUUCUCUUCCUAAAUUACUCAAAUUCACUUUUAAAAUAAUCUGUAAAGGCAGAUUGUCUUGAAAAACUACCAAUUUUUAUUUUCUUUGAAGAUAAACACGUGGCUAAGAGAGGAAUAUUCCUUCAACACAGCUGACAAUUAUUUACUAUCUGCAAUGUUCACAACACAACAUUUAAUAUUAUGGAGUCAACAUAUUAAACUAAAUAUUUUAAAUGUCUUUAGUUAUACACCAAAGGUAUGAAAACUAAGUCUCAUGAUUUGC
Molecule: long non-coding RNA, 1305 nt
Filed under: Homo sapiens (human)
Lineage: Eukaryota; Metazoa; Chordata; Mammalia; Primates; Hominidae
Description: HSALNT0073400
Source: RNAcentral